This 491-nucleotide ribosomal RNA is filed under the name uncultured bacterium. Its description in RNAcentral is "partial 16S ribosomal RNA". It matches the Rfam family "Bacterial small subunit ribosomal RNA", at positions 29 to 506 of the family's 1533-position model. The record is from RNAcentral.
AGUGAACGCUGGCGGUAGGCCUAACACAUGCCAGUCGAACGGCAGCACAGUAAGAGCUUGCUCUUACGGGUGGCGAGUGGCGGACGGGUGAGGAAUACAUCGGAAUCUACUUUUUCGUGGGGGAUAACGUAGGGAAACUUACGCUAAUACCGCAUACGACCUACGGGUGAAAGCAGGGGAUCUUCGGACCUUGCGCGAUUGAAUGAGCCGAUGUCGGAUUAGCUAGUUGGCGGGGUAAAGGCCCACCAAGGCGACGAUCCGUAGCUGGUCUGAGAGGAUGAUCAGCCACACUGGAACUGAGACACGGUCCAGACUCCUACGGGAGGCAGCAGUGGGGAAUAUUGGACAAUGGGCGCAAGCCUGAUCCAGCCAUACCGCGUGGGUGAAGAAGGCCUUCGGGUUGUAAAGCCCCUUUGUUGGGAAAGAAAAGCAGCAGGUUAAUACCCCGCUGUUCUGACGGUACCCAAAGAAUAAGCACCGGCUAACUUCGU